RNAcentral lists this ribosomal RNA (301 nucleotides) under uncultured bacterium. RNAcentral describes it as "partial 16S ribosomal RNA". It matches the Rfam family "Bacterial small subunit ribosomal RNA", at positions 509 to 807 of the family's 1533-position model. The record is from RNAcentral.
CAGCAGCCGCGGGAAUACGAAGGGUGCAAGCGUUAAUCGGAUUUACUGGGCGUAAAGCGUGCGUAGGCGGCUUUUUAAGUCGGAUGUGAAAUCCCUAAGCUUAACUUAGGAAUUGCAUUCGAUACUGGGAAGCUAGAGUGUGGGAGAGGAUGGUAGAAUUCCAGGUGUAGCGGUGAAAUGCGUAGAGAUCUGGAGGAAUACCGAUGGCGAAGGCAGCCAUCUGGCCUAAUACUGACGCUGAGGUACGAAAGCAUGGGGAGCAAACAGGAUUAGAUACCCCAGUAGUCCCUGUCUCUUAUAC